AUGUACAAACAAAAAAAAAAUGAUACAAAAAGUAAAAAUAAUAUAUUUGAAAAAAAAGAAGAUAAUAACAAUACAAAUAAAAGAAGAAAAUUAAUAGAAUUACAUAAAAAGGAAAAUUUUUAUCUUAUUGAUAAUUAUAUUACUAUAAAAAAAAAUAAUGAUAGUGUAAGUUGUAAAAAUUGUAACACUUUUAAAAAAAGUAACGAUAAAGUUUCAACUAAUUCGAUGGUAACCAAUUCUACAACAAAAAACAAUAAAGCAAACAAAUGUGAUACACCUAGUAUAUUCAAUUUUUUAACAAUUAAACAAAAAAAUGUCCAAAAAAAUGUCCAAAAUAAAGAUGAUACUUGUGAUACGUGUAAAUUGGUAACUUCUAUUACUACUACUACUACUACCACCGCUAAUACUACCACUAAUACUACCAUCUCUAAUACUACUAGUAGUAAUAGUAAUGAUAAUAUAACAUUAAACAUGAAUGAAAAGGAAAAACAAAUAAAAAAUAAAAUUAAUAAUAACGAUAGUAAUAAUAGUAACAAUAUAAAUGAAAGCAAAAAUGAAAGUAUAAAUAACGAAGUAGACAAAAAUAAAAAACAAAUUUUACCUGAUAAUACAAAAGAUAUAUCCUUAAACGAACAAGAAAGUAUAAACAAUAUAGAAAAUAAUACAAAUAAAAAAAAAAAUAAUACAAAUGAAAAAAAAAAUAAUACAAAUGAAAAAAAAAAAAAUACAAAUGAAAAAAAAAAAAAUAUAACAAAAAUCAAAAGCAUAUCAAAUGGUGUUGAAGAAAAGGGAGAACCCCCACUUAGAAAUGUAUACAAUAAUGUACAUGAUUAUGUAUAUAAUGGUACUAGUAAUAAUAAAGACCUUAGUAAUAAGAACCUUAGUAAUAAUGAGAACCUUAGUAAUAAGAACCUUAGUAAUAAUAAGAACCUUAGUAAUAAUAAGGAUAAUAGUAAGAAUGAGACUGCCAAAACAUGUGAUAAACAAAAUAACAAAGUAAAUAAAAUUGAUGAAAUGUUUAAAAAUAUGAUUCAAAAUAAUAAAAAAAAAGAAAUAAUAAUUCAUGAAAACAGUAACAACGAUUUUGAUAAUACAAAUUCAGAAAAAAAAAGUAUUAACAAAGAUUUAAGCGAUAUUAAUAAUUCCAUUAAAAAACAAAAGGAUGUAUGCCAAAAAAAUAUUAAUGAUAUGCUGGGACAUACGACAGAUGUUGACAGCAAAAGUGAUGAUACAAGUAAAGGUACUCAUGAUAAUCAAAAUAAUUAUAAGUUAGAUAGCAAUACUAAUAAUGGUAACGAUUUAAAAAUUGAAGCAACUAAUAAAAUGGAAAAAAUUAAUAAGAGAAAAAAAGUUACUACACCAGAAAAUAAUAUAAAUAACAACAACGAAUGUAAUAAUAACAACAGUAUUAAUAAUAGUGAUAAUAGCAAUGCUAAUUUAUUAGAAGAAAGUGAUUAUAUCCAUAAUUUAAAAAACAAUUCAAAAGUAAGUCUUCCGUAUUUUGCAACCGAUCAGAGAGAAAAAUUAAUUAAAGAAACAAAUGAGUUUUUCAAGAUGUAUAACUUACACCUGAAAAUUGAACAGCUACCAACAAGUAUGCCUGAUUAUAUAAAAUUAUUAAUAAAAAAAAAAGAUCAUAUUUUUAAUAUAAUUAACGAUUAUAAAAAUGAAUUAAAAAAAUGUGUAAAUAAAAGAACCGACACAAAAGUAAUGGACGAAUUUAAUGAAAAGGUAUAUGAUACAAUAGACACAUAUAUUGGUCAAAAUUGUGAACAAAACAAACAAAAAAAUGGUGACAAAUGUGGUGACAAAAAUGGUGAUAAAAGUGGCGACAAAAAUGGUGAUAAAAGCGGUGAUAAAAACGGUGAUAAAAGUAGUGAAAAAAGCGGUGACAAAAACUGUGAUAAAAGUAAUGACAAAAGCGGUGAUAAAAUUGAAGAUCGAAAUGAUGGCGAUAGCAACAACAACAACAACGAAGCAUGUUACGAAAAAAAAAAAAAAAAUUUCUGUGCGAAUGAAAACGAUGAUGUUAUAAAGGCGAACGACACCAAAAUAAGAAAUCGCAUAGGAUUAAAAAACAAAAAAGAACAAAGUAAAAAAAACAUAAAAAAAAAGUACACUUAUUAUGAUAAUUUAAAUUAUUUAAGUGAUAGCUCUAAAGACAUAAUAGAGAAAGAAUAUAGUAUUUUUUUAAAUAUGUUUGAAAACAUGAAUAAAAGUGAAAGUGGUUAUGUAAAAAAAACGAUAGAAGUAAAAGGCGAUGUAAAAAAAACGAUAGAAGUAGAAUGUGAUGUAAAAAAGACGAUAGAAGUAGAAGGUGAUAAUAAUAAAAAAGAGAAUAAUUGUGACAAAGAAAAGAGCAACAAUUUUUUUAUAAAAGAGAUAAUAAAAGAUUUAAUAUUUAACAAUAAAGAAGAAACACAUUACUUCAAAUACAAAAGUCUCGAGGCUGAGUAUAAGGAAGAAAAAUAUAAUAAAUUAAAAGAAAUUAUAAUAAAACUAAAAAUAAAAGAAAAAAAAAUUGAUACAAUUUUAAGUAAUACUUAUGAAUUUUUUAAAUAUUUUAAUAUACAUAGACAUCGUUAUUUUUUAUAUGAAAAAAUGAUAAUUAAUUGGAAUUAUGUUGAAAAUAUGGUAAAUAAAAAAAGUGAUAUAAGGAAUAAAAAUUUACCUUUUGAUUUGUUAAAAACGGAUAAAGAUUAUUUUAUAAAUUUAAAAAAAAAUUAUAAUGAUAUAUUACUUGGAAAAUUUAAUGGUAUAUUAAUUACAUUAAAUACUAAAAAAUUUAAUACAAAUUCUAUAAAUGGUUGUUCUAUUGGAUUAUCGAAGAUUAUUUGUGGCUGUUUAGUUCAGUAUACAGGAAAAUGUAAGGUAAAUAUUAAAAGUAUUUGGACACAUCCUUUUCUUAAUACGAAAUCAACUUAUCAUAUUCUGUGCGCAUUCUUACCUCGAAUUAUAUUAGAAGCAUUUAUAAACAAUAACAAUAGUACUGUGUAUAAGGAGAAGAGAAAUUCGUAUGAGCAUGAGGUCCCUAUGAAAGCAUGCAUAGACAAUACCGAGUAUUUAAAGGGUUUAUAUCGUGCAAGUGAUGAGAGGUGUUUAGACAAGAAAAUACCCACAAAUGUAAAUAAAAGUACAACCGAUGUCAAUAUAGAGCAGAACGAUGAAAAUAUUAGCCACUUCUCGGCUUAUGAAUAUCCAGCUAUGUAUUUUUUAAAUUUUAACAAAAAAUGCUCAUUAUAUUUAAAUAACAUACUAAACAAUGUUAAUAAGGAAUCAAUUACCGAACAAGAACAGAAUAAACUAACUUCUAAUUCUAUAUGUCUAAAUAAUAAAGAAAAUAAUACUACCACUCCAAAAUAUACAGAACUUAAGAAAAAAAAUAAUACAUUCAUAUAUAUUAUUUUUAGUGAUCUGGAUAUUUUCCCUAGACAAUGCUAUUUGUUAUUAUGCUCUUAUAAAUAUAUGUGCUUAAAUAUGCAUUAUGACAAAUCGAGUUCAAGUAUCUCGCUUCAUUAUGACUUAAAUGUAAAUAAUAUUCAAAAAGAAAAUGUGGGUAAAAACAUGGAAGUAUCUAAUGUAUGUCCCUGUUCACUUGUUAAAAAUGAUUCCUCAGAUGAUGAAAAUUCUUAUGAACGCAUUAUUGGUUGUAGCGAGCUGUACAUGUACUACAUGAUCCCGAAAAAAGAAGAGAGGCAAGAACUAGGGUUACUAGAACGUACUGGGUGGAGGGACUUAAUUUUAAACACAUUUAAUGAAGAAAUAAAUGAAAAUAUAUGUAACAUUAUAAAAAUUAGAACAAACGUAAAUAAUUUAUAUUCUCAUAUUCUUACCCAAAAUAAAAUAAAUGAAAAGAAAUAUACAUCAGCAUAUAUUAAUCAAUAUGAAUGGUGCGGGUUAAAAAUGAAGGAUAUACGUAAUAUGAUGCUUGAUAAUUUUAAUUAUGAGUCACCCAUUAAAAAAACAUAAAAAUAUAAGCAUUUAAUGAAAAAAUAUGUACCACUAUAUAAUUAAUAGGAACAAAAGAGUGCGUAUAUAUAUUAAUAAGCAAUAAAAAGUGAUUAACUCAGGAGCA
Molecule: long non-coding RNA, 4075 nt
Organism: Piliocolobus tephrosceles (Ugandan red Colobus)
Lineage: Eukaryota; Metazoa; Chordata; Mammalia; Primates; Cercopithecidae
Source: Ensembl